Molecule: ribosomal RNA, 253 nt
Filed under: uncultured bacterium
Lineage: Bacteria
Description: partial 16S ribosomal RNA
Rfam family: Bacterial small subunit ribosomal RNA
Source: RNAcentral
UACGAGUGCCCCAAGCGUUAUCCGGAAUUAUUGGGCGUAAAGGGUGUGUAGGUGGUCGUGUUAGUCUUCUGUCAAAUUCUUCGGCUUAACCGGGGGUCCGCAGAGGAAACGGCACGACUCGAGGGUGCGAGGGGUCAGUGGAACUCAUGGAGUAGGGGUGAAAUCCGUUGAUAUCAUGGGGAACACCAAAAGCGAAGGCAACUGACUGGCGCAUUCCUGACACUGAGACACGAAAGCGUGGGUAACGAACUGG